RNAcentral lists this ribosomal RNA (167 nucleotides) under Amusium pleuronectes. RNAcentral's name for it is "5.8S ribosomal RNA". It matches the Rfam family "5.8S ribosomal RNA". From Rfam's summary of the family: 5.8S ribosomal RNA (5.8S rRNA) is a component of the large subunit of the eukaryotic ribosome. It is transcribed by RNA polymerase I as part of the 45S precursor that also contains 18S and 28S rRNA. The record is from RNAcentral. Lineage: Eukaryota; Metazoa; Mollusca; Bivalvia; Pectinida; Pectinidae.
UCACUCUAAGCGGUGGAUCACUCGGCUCGUGUGUCGAUGAAGAGCGCAGCCAGGUGCGUGAAUUAAUGUGAAUUGCAGGACACAUUGAACAUCGAUAUCUUGAACGCACAUUGCGGCCCUGGGUCACUCCCGGAGCCACGCCUGUCUGAGGGUCGGCGAAACAUCUA